UACGUAGGUGGCAAGCGUUGUCCGGAUUUACUGGGCGUAAAGAGUGCGCAGGCGGUCGUUCAAGUCGCGUGUGAAAGCCCCCGGCUCAACUGGGGAGGGUCACGCGAUACUGAUCGACUGGAAGGCAGGAGAGGGUAGUGGAAUUCCCGGUGUAGUGGUGAAAUGCGUAGAUAUCGGGAGGAACACCAGUGGCGAAGGCGACUACCUGGCCUGUUCUUGACGCUGAGGCGCGAAAGCUAGGGGAGCAAACGGG
RNAcentral lists this ribosomal RNA (253 nucleotides) under uncultured bacterium. RNAcentral's name for it is "partial 16S ribosomal RNA". It matches the Rfam family "Bacterial small subunit ribosomal RNA", at positions 524 to 776 of the family's 1533-position model. The record is from RNAcentral.